This 418-nucleotide ribosomal RNA is filed under the name uncultured bacterium. Its description in RNAcentral is "bacterial SSU rRNA". It matches the Rfam family "Bacterial small subunit ribosomal RNA", at positions 355 to 775 of the family's 1533-position model. The record is from RNAcentral.
UGAGGAAUCUUGCACAAUGGGCGAAAGCCUGAUGCAGCGAUGCCGCGUGAGGGAUGAAGGCCUUCGGGUCGUAAACCUCUUUCAGUAGGGAAGAAGCCCGGGGUCACCCGGGUGACGGUACCUGCAGAAGAAGCCCCGGCUAACUACGUGCCAGCAGCCGCGGUAAAACGUAGGGGGCAAGCGUUGCCCGGAUUCACUGGGCGUAAAGCGCGUGUAGGCGGUCCGUUAAGUCGGGUGUGAAAUCUCCAGGCUCAACCUGGAAAGUGCACCCGAUACUGGCGGACUUGAGGACGGUAGAGGUCGGUGGAAUGCCGAGUGUACCGGUGAAAUGGACAGAUAUUCGGCGGAACACCAGUGGCGAAGGCGGCCGACUGGGCCGUUCCUGACGCUGAGACGCGAAAGCCAGGGGAGCGAACCG